CAGCAGCCGCGGGAAUACGUAGGGUGCGAGCGUUAAUCGGAAUUACUGGGCGUAAAGCGUGCGCAGGCGGUUGUGUAAGACAGGUGUGAAAUCCCCGGGCUUAACCUGGGAACUGCGCUUGUGACUGCACAGCUAGAGUAUGGCAGAGGGGGGUGGAAUUCCACGUGUAGCAGUGAAAUGCGUAGAGAUGUGGAGGAACACCGAUGGCGAAGGCAGCCCCCUGGGCCAAUACUGACGCUCAUGCACGAAAGCGUGGGGAGCAAACAGGAUUAGAUACCCCUGUAGUCCCGUCUCUUAUACA
This 301-nucleotide ribosomal RNA is filed under the name uncultured bacterium. RNAcentral's name for it is "partial 16S ribosomal RNA". It matches the Rfam family "Bacterial small subunit ribosomal RNA", at positions 509 to 808 of the family's 1533-position model. The record is from RNAcentral.